Molecule: non-coding RNA, 73 nt
Organism: Phrynosoma platyrhinos (Desert horned lizard)
Lineage: Eukaryota; Metazoa; Chordata; Lepidosauria; Squamata; Phrynosomatidae
Source: the annotation of a GenBank genome assembly
GACCCAGUGUGGUGUAGUGGUUUGAACAUUGGACUUUGACUGGAAAACCAGGGUUUGAAUCCCUGCUGAGCCA